This 274-nucleotide ribosomal RNA is filed under the name uncultured bacterium. RNAcentral's name for it is "partial 16S ribosomal RNA". It matches the Rfam family "Bacterial small subunit ribosomal RNA", at positions 523 to 796 of the family's 1533-position model. The record is from RNAcentral.
CUACGGAGGGUCCAAGCGUUAUCCGGAAUCAUUGGGUUUAAAGGGUCCGCAGGCGGUCAAUUAAGUCAGAGGUGAAAUCCCACAGCUCAACUGUGGAACUGCCUUUGAUACUGGUAGUCUUGAGUUAUAUGGAAGUAGAUAGAAUGUGUAGUGUAGCGGUGAAAUGCAUAGAGAUUACACAGAAUACCGAUUGCGAAGGCAGUCUACUACAUAUAUACUGACGCUGAUGGACGAAAGCGUGGGGAGCGAACAGGAUUAGAAACCCUAGUAGUCC